AUUUAAAUAGCUUAAUAAGAGUAUAAUAUUGAAGAUAUUAGGGUGAUUUUACAAUCUUUAGAUA
RNAcentral lists this transfer RNA (64 nucleotides) under Limenitis cleophas. RNAcentral's name for it is "tRNA-Phe". Lineage: Eukaryota; Metazoa; Arthropoda; Insecta; Lepidoptera; Nymphalidae. The record is from RNAcentral.